RNAcentral lists this transfer RNA (82 nucleotides) under Nematostella vectensis (starlet sea anemone). It matches the Rfam family "tRNA". Rfam says of the family: Transfer RNA (tRNA) molecules are approximately 80 nucleotides in length. Lineage: Eukaryota; Metazoa; Cnidaria; Anthozoa; Actiniaria; Edwardsiidae. The record is from Rfam by way of RNAcentral.
ACCAGGAUGGCCGAGUGGUUAAGGCGUUGGACUUAAGUUCCAAUGUACGAUGUACGCGUGGGUUUGAACCCCACUCCUGGUA